This 789-nucleotide ribosomal RNA is filed under the name Triticum aestivum (bread wheat). Its description in RNAcentral is "partial small subunit ribosomal RNA". The record is from RNAcentral. Lineage: Eukaryota; Viridiplantae; Streptophyta; Magnoliopsida; Poales; Poaceae.
AUGGAGCCUUUACAGCGGCUGCUAUCCAAGCUGAAGGGCAAAAUCCCGAGCUACCGCGCGUCUCUCUAUGCCGACGAUGUCGCUAUCUUCAUCAACCCCGUGCGGCAAGAGCUAUGCGCCAUCAAGCAAAUCCUUCAAGUGUUUGGGCAGGCCACGGGACUGCGGGUCAAUUUCGGCAAGAGCGUGGCCAUCCCGAUCCGGCCGGAGCUGUUUGACGUCGACAACGUCAUCCUACCCCUGGGCGCCGCGCGCGCUUCCCUGCCGUGCCGCUUCCUGGGCCUUCCGCUAUCAUUGCGCAAGGUUCGGAAGACCGACCUGCAGCCGUUGCUCGACAAAAUUCUCGCCCGGUUGGCGGCCUGGAAGGUCAAGUUUUUCACCAUGGCCGGCAGGCUUGUUCUACUCAACUCGGUCCUCUCUGCCCUCACCGUCUAUUGGCUAUCGGUGCACCAUAUGCCGGCCUGGAUACGUCGCCAGAUUGAUAAAAUCAGACGGGCCUGGCUCUGGCGUGGCCAAGAGAGUUGUCACGGCGGCCAUUGUAAGGUCGCCUGGAGCAGAAUCUGCCGACCUAGAGAUCUUGGCGGGCUCGGCAUCAUCGACCUGGUUCGCUUCGGGGCGGUGUUGCGGCUAAGGUGGCUCUGGUGGGAGAAGACGGCUCACUCCAAGCCAUGGAUUGGGCUACCGGUGCCAUGCAGUCACAGUGAGCGGCUGCUGUUUGCGGCCUCCACGUCAGUAAGACUUGGGGACGGCAGGACGGCCUCCUUCUGGAUGGACAGUUGGCUACAGGGCUAG